RNAcentral lists this long non-coding RNA (256 nucleotides) under Carica papaya (papaya). RNAcentral describes it as "long non-coding RNA (CPAP_LNC000361)". Lineage: Eukaryota; Viridiplantae; Streptophyta; Magnoliopsida; Brassicales; Caricaceae. The record is from RNAcentral.
AAAUAUAUAUAAGAUUUAUCAGUUGAUAAAUAUGUUAGUGUCUAAUUUUUAUUUAUCUUGAUUAAGUCAAAAUUCAUUCAAAUCUUACUUAAAUAUAAAUCUUAAUCUAAUUUCAGUUCAAGCCCAGCAAAAACCCACCAAAUGAAAAUGGAAUAACAAAAUGGCGAAAUGAAAAGCACGAUAGUUGGUAAUGGCUGUCCAAUUAACAUUGUUGCAAUUAGAUAGCUCGCCGAGCCCACCGACUUUCGGUUCUAUU